GGCGAAAAUUCACCGGAAAGGCCGGAAUCGGCCGAAUCGACCGAGAAGCUCGAGGUGGCUUGAUGUGUAUGUGUUCAGGACGUGGUGGCAGGAUCUUGACAGUGUGUGUGUCAAGGGAAUCAGGAGGUGUUGCAGUACAUGCAACCUUGACAUGCAAGUAGACAUGUGGAGCACGAGGUGGAACGGCCAAGCACGAGGUGUUGCGAUGCAUGCGACCGAAGCAUGCGGCCAGCCAUGUGUGAGAUGGGGUGUCGACCUGCAUGCACUUCAGUCAUUCAUCAGGCCAUCUGGACGUGGGUGUGUCAUCCUGCAUGAUACUGAGGCAUGCAGCCAGCCAUGUGGAGUACGAGGUGUCGCGAUGCAUGCGACCGGGCCAUGCGGCCAGACAUGUGGAGGACAUGGUGUCAGCUUGCAAGUGAGCAGGCCAUGCAUCCAGACAGGUAUAGGGCGUGGUGUCACCUUGCAUGUGAGCAGGCCAUGCUGAAGGACAAGUGGAGCACGAGGUGCCGCCGCGCAUGC
This 519-nucleotide long non-coding RNA is filed under the name Brassica napus (rape). RNAcentral's name for it is "long non-coding RNA (BNAP_LNC022877)". Lineage: Eukaryota; Viridiplantae; Streptophyta; Magnoliopsida; Brassicales; Brassicaceae. The record is from RNAcentral.